CAAGACACGAGCAUUGUCACAUCAGAAAACCACCCAAUUCAUCUUCAUGGAUAUGACUUUUACAUUAUCGCACAAGGAUUUGGAAAUUAUAAUCCCCGAACAGACCCAUCAAAAUUUAACCUCGUUGAUCCACCUCUCAGAAACACAGUUGCAGUGCCUGUAAAUGGAUGGGCAGUCAUUAGAUUCGUAGCAGAUAAUCCAGGUAAAAAAUAUAAACACUCUGCAUUCAUCGUACAAUGAUGUCGAACCUUAGCUUCAAUUGAACUCCAAUCUAAAUUAAAUGUUUCCAACAUGUUUUAUUUUUUUGCAUAAAUAGGUGUUUGGCUAAUGCAUUGCCACUUGGAUGUUCACAUCACCUGGGGUCUUGCCACGGCUUUCUUGGUCGAGAAUGGAGUCGGAGAAUUGCAAUCCAUUGAGUCCCCUCCAGAAGAUCUGCCUCUAUGCUGAGAUCAGCAAUAGAAAGAAAAUAUACGUACCAGUUUGUUGAAAUUCAUAAGCCCGAUCGAUAACAUAAUGUUUCCAUGUGUUGUAGUCUUAGUUUCAUUGUUGGUUUGUUCUUUCCUUUCGAGUGAUAAAGCGAUUACAGGUGCUGCAGUUAGAAAAAUCGGUUCCAAAUUAUUUACCAAUACAAUGGCCAUGUUUCUUGAUUCUUGAUGCACGUAAUUCUUUUCCAUUAAUCAUUGUUGCAACAAAAUCUCACUUCUCCCUCUCUCACUCUCUCUUAUCUUUAAUUAUCUUUUGGACAGCUUCAAUACUCCCAUCCUGAUAAACAUGAGGGAUGUGAUUCAGAAUUUACUAAAUUUGAGGAGUAUUGAAAUCUAAAUUAUAGUUGCAAGAAGAUCCCUGCAAACUAUUUUUGUGCUUUUUAUCAAAUGCGAGUGUAUAAACUCCACUGAUCCAACAAUUGUGUCUUGUAGCAGACAUUGGAGACCGCCCAACUGAAGUCUCUCUCUCUCUCUCUCUCUCUCUCUCUCUCUCUCUCUCCAUAUAUAUAUAUAUAUAUAUAUUGGGGUUGAGCUCUGCUCAGCUACCUCAUUAACUAUCAUGAUUCAAAUAUCCUCAAGUCAAAUUUAAAAAAUAAAAUUGUCAUGAAUUUCCAACCGUAAAGUUAGAAAAAUAAAUUACCUAAAACAAAGAGUUACCUCACGUCUUCACCCCCUGUGUAAUCAACAAAUGGUUGAAUUCUGAAAAUUCUCAUGUGCAGAAUUGAGUACACACUAUUUUGUAGUUGUCUGGAAUUUCGUUUUAAAUGGUAUUUCAUUAAAAAAAAUUGUUUAAAAUUAAAUCUUUUUAUAUUUUUUGUAUUUUUUUUGUUAAAUUUAUAUCAAAAAUUAUUUUAAAAAAAAUAAAAAAAUCUGUUAUUUAAAUAUAUAUUUUUUUAAAAAAACCCUUUAAAAAACAACAUCUGUAAAGAGCAAGAUUAAUCUUAUAAUAAAUAGUUAAUUAUGACUUACUCUCUAUGGUUAGUCAAUUUCUAACCACUGGUGACUAGAUAUACCCCAACAUUCACUGUUCGAACUUAAUUACAGGUGCGUCAAUGACCAGAAAGGAAGUUUAAAAAGAGAGCCUUCCUAGAAAUCAGCGAGCUUUCGCUCCCUUUUUUUCCUGAAGUAUUUUUUCCUUGUUGCAUUGCAAUUAACCAGAGUUACUGAAGUAUAACUACAAACUUUUGUGUAAUUACUUACACAAAAGUUAAUUAUGACUUAGUCUCUAUGGUUUAAUGAAACUAGGUAAUUAGUCCAUGUUAUUUCAAUUUCUAACCACUAGUCACUGUAUAUACCCCCAACAUUCACUAACUGUAAUAAUAAUUGAUUUUUAAAAUAUAUUUUUAAAAAAAUUAUUUUUGACGUUAAUAUAUGAAAAUAUCAAAAAUAUUAAUUUGAAAUAAAAAUAAAUAGAUAAAAUUUUAAAAAAAUAUUUAUCUUAUCAAUAAAUUGAGCACUUGAUUAUAUGAUAGACUAAUUUGUUAUGAUUCAUUAAAGAAAAUCUAAUCUGUGUACUCAAAAGCUAUUUGAAAAUACUCAUAUCGUUAAAAUCAAAGAAAAUAAUAAAUGACCGAGUAAAUGCAUAGAGUUCGAAAUUUAAAAAGAGAGCCUUCCUAGAAAUCAGCGAAGUAUUUUUUUCCCAGUUGCAUUGCAAUUAAUUACUAUAAGUAAUAUUAUGAGACUGAAAUCAAUAAUAAGGUUGCUGUGGUGUAGUGGUUAUCACGUUAGUCUUACACACUAAAGGUCCCCAGUUCGAUCCUGGGCAGCAACAUUUUGAAUUUAAUCACAACUUUUUGCUUACAAAAUAGGCAGAAAAGAGAAGGGGCUAUAAAUAUCUAGGUUUCUAUUCUUGGAUUUUUCUCUUGUCCGGGUUUAAUUAAUUAAAUUAAUCUUACCUUACAGAGAAAUCAACGAUCGAGAAUCAUUAUAGAAAGUGGGUUGGGAUUGCUUCUGUCUCGGUGGGCACAAGCAGAGCUGGGUUUGGAAGUUUAUAGUCGCUUUACAAAAAGUGAUACGCAUAUCUUUGGUUGUUAAUGAAGAAAUGUCGGUGCACAUCGAUAUUGCUGGACAGAAGCAGUACUUGCACUUUGCAUUAGUGGGAUUCCCUGAUUUUGCUUCAUCGCUCUUGUCUGUUGGCAUGGCAUUGCAGCUUGGAUGUGAAAACUACCACUUAGUGCAAAGUGUUUAUGCAACAACAUUAUGCCAACCACUCUAGCUUUCCCUGUAGUUAUUGAAUGCCGUUAGAACUGUCUCUUGAAUUCGGCAAUGGGAUUCGAUUGGGACUUGACAUAAGGAUUUGUUGUGUAAAACAUGUUCGGUGCUAAAACUCCCUCUUAAAUUCCCUCUAGCACUUGAACAAUAAGUGCAAAAGGGUUUAUACAUUAUGUGCCUAGAGCACAUAACAACUAGUAGUUAAGGCCUCGGGGAGAGUGUGUUUGACGCCUUUGUUAGGCCUUUCUAGGGCUGUACUUGAGUCUUGCCCUAUUGUCCAUGUUCUUUGCAGCUUGCUAGGCCUAUAGAAUGGGUUCCUCGUAGUGUUUUCUAUUACAUGGGCACCACAUAGAGAACCCACCACAGUACAGACAGCUAAUUCUCGCGUGAAAACCAUGUGGGAUUAAUUGACUUGCAGGCAACUGUCUAUGUUAAUAAUUGCGCGCUUCAAGUUAAUUAAUGGUUUUACUUUUGCAAGAAGAUAUUAUUUAUGAACUUGGAACGUUUUAUUGUUCAAGUUUAAUGGUAAACCAUUCACAACCACCAUGGAAAUUGAAAACCCAAGAAAGCAAGGUCGACAACGUGCUCUUAAUUAAUAAUCAUAACACACAAGGACAUGGGAAGAAACCGAAGGAAAUAAAAGGGUGGUGAGAGACGAAGCACCAGAAAACAUUGACGAAUUAAGGAGGCGCCUGUGUUUUUGGAUCUUUUUUUAAAAAAAAAUUUCAUUUAUACGAUUAAUCGUGUUGCUUAUGACUUCGUAAUUGCCACUAACUAACAUCCCAAGACUCUCAACAGGUCAAUAACAAACUUUACCAAACAGGGCACCUUCCUUUUUCAAUCUUGUUCACCUAUCAAAAUCCUUAUCAAUCCCUUGUCUCUCUCGAUCGCUAGAUAUGCUUCCUUUCAAAGAGACUAAGCUCCUCCCAAUUGCCAUUGAUCAUGGAAUUCAAGAUCUCAAUAUUUCAUGAAAUCAUUGUUAGCAGAAGUUAAUUCUUUUUCUCUUAUAAUCAUUGAAGAGAAUGUGAAAAUUAAAAAAUACUCUUCAAGGAAUUACUCAUUUUACUAUUAUGGUGACAAAAACAAAACAUUUUAUUUCAUCUUGGCAUUUAAAUUGGAAACAAGAUUGUUUUGGAUGACAAAAAAUUACUAGAACUAACACUUUAAACAAUGGCGUAUAAUUGGGAAUACAACACGAAAUUAUGAGCUUGUUUAUUUUUGCGUUUUAAAAAUAUUUUUAAAAAAUUUUAAAUUUUUUAAAUUUUCCCGUUGCUUCAAAUAUUUGAUUUUUUUUGUAUUUUCAAAAUUUUUUAUAUAUAUCAUAGUUUUAAAACCCGGCCCGGCCCGGCGGGUUAACCCGGACCCGGCUAAUCCGGGGCUAGAACAGGGCCGAGUUUAUCAAAAAAUAAGGGAAGUCAAAAACUCGGCUGACCUGGCGACCUGGUUGACUCGGCAAGAGCCAGUCAAAAACCCGGUUGUAACCCAAUGACUAUUUUGUUUUUUACCCAAAACGAUGUCGUUUUGAUUUAUAAAAAAAACGGGUCGACCACCGGGCCGAGUUAAAAACACUGGUGUUGAUUUGAAAUGUGAAAAAUAAAUUUAAAAAAAAAUAUUAUUUCGAUAUAAAACACUUUAAAAAAAACAACUAAUAAAAUAUUAAAGGUAAGGUAAUUAUACCCACAUCGGAUCAAUCAAGCAAUGAUUUGCCAAAAUUGUUAAAAUUAAUAUAUAUCCUUUAAACCUAGAACCCAUGAUGUUGUUGCCACCAAUUAAUAUAUAGAUGUUUAGCCUGGUGAUGCACUCUCUUAGAAAAAGAGAGAAGCUGAGGUUUUGAGUUCAAAUACUGCUCUAGUUAUCUAAAAAAUUAAAAACAAAAUGUUAUCGUUACCAUUACCAUCUAGUUUUACUGACAAAAUCCCAAUUGUAAGUGAUUUAGAAUCAUCGAUCCACACUCGAAAAUCACCUCUCCUGAAUCACUUACUCCUUGAUAAAGAGUUAAAAUGAGUAUUUGUUAAUUAAAGUACGUGUCCUUUAAGCGUGAACUCUUAAGGUUAGUAAGCUUGUUGAUAUAUUUAAUUGAGCAUUCACCCAUCGAAGAAGUAGUUUUCGAGCAUCGCUCUCAACUUGUGUGCGGACCUUGUUUGCUAGCACAAAAGUUGGAGGCCUACAUCAGUACUAUCUUUAUUUGCAACGAGUUUGACCGCUUGUGCAUGGGUUAAUUAAUUAAUUUCUUUUGGUAUCGGGCGAUUGUGCUUGUCCUAAGAUAUGGAUGUUGAAAUCAUGAGCAUUACAAGAAGAAGAAGAAAGCAGGCGAGGUUGCAUUAAUUUCUGUACGUAAUAACCCAUUUGAUUAAAAAGAAUUGAAGGAUCAAAACCCUUCUUUUUGCCAACAGAAAUUAUGAAUGGUGGUGAUCUGUUGAGAUUCAACCAGAAAUUAACGAAAAGACUUGUGAAACAAGCAUUUGAGAAAUUAUCCAAUCUCGCUAUGCUAGUGGGUGCAACAACUCCCAUAGGAUUGAACUAAGUAUUGCCUUCAAAAUCAAACCACUCCCUAAAUCAAAACCUAAUCUGCCAACCUCAAACAACUUGUUCUGCUUCACGCUCAUCCUAUAUAAGGAGUUUUUUGACUCCCUUUCAUCACCACUCAUCUUAAUUAGCCAUCACUCGAAGACAUCAAGGCAGGCUAGCUUAAGAGAUAAAAUGGAGGUUAUCAAGUCUAUCUUUGCUGAUCGUCAUUGUUCUUUCUUCCUGGUCGUGCUGCUUCUAGCCUCAACAAUGUCAUUAGCGAUUGCAGAGAUCCACCACCAUGAUUUUGUUGUAUGUCCUAGUCUUAUUCUUUGGUUAUUUAAUGUAUCAUCUUCAAAUCAAUAAUCCUGAUCUCCAUCUUUCUCCUGGUGAACUUUUAUAUUUUAAUAUGGAACAGGUUCAAGCAACGAAAGUGAAGAGGCUGUGCAAAACCCACAAUAGCAUCACAGUCAAUGGGAUGUUCCCAGGGCCAACCCUGGAAGUGAAAAAUGGAGACACUCUAGUUGUAAAAGUUGUCAACAAAGCCCGAUACAACGUUACCAUUCACUGGUAAUCAACUGCAUGAGUCACACAUGCACGUGUGAUCGCAUUCCUACAAACACACAUGUUCCCGACAAAUCAUUACAUGGAGCAUGAGGCACAUAUAUAUACAAUGCAUUUUUUUUUUUAGUUUUUUACCAGUUGCCGUUCAAUUAUUCUAGUUGCAUGUUCGAAAUCACUGUUCAUCACACACCCAGCUCACGAACCAUUCCAACUCCACUAUUCUUUGGCACAUUGUCUAAUUAGCAAUUGACUUCAAAUCAUCAUAUUUUUUUAGGCAUGGUAUUAGGCAAAUGAGAACGGGCUGGGCAGAUGGGCCAGAAUUUGUGACACAAUGCCCGAUCAGACCAGGUGGGAGUUAUACCUACAGGUUUAAUAUUGAAGGACAAGAAGGGACACUUUGGUGGCAUGCUCAUAGCUCUUGGCUUAGAGCCACCGUUUAUGGUGCUCUAAUUAUCCAUCCAAGAGAAGGAUCCUCGUAUCCGUUCGCUAAGCCAAAGCGUGAAACACCCAUACUUCUUGGUAAUUAUCCAUCAUUAAUUUCCUCCCAAAUUCCUUAACCAUAAUUACUAGAUUCCCUUAAUUAUUAACUUAGCUUCAAAACAAAUGUUUGUGUGUUCCAACUGUUGAUUCUAACUAACCAUGAUGAUCAGGCGAAUGGUGGGAUGCGAAUCCCGUUGAUGUGGUGAGGGAGGCAACUAGAACUGGAGCAGCUCCAAAUAUAUCUGAUGCAUAUACCAUUAAUGGUCAACCUGGUGAUCUUUAUAAUUGUUCCAGCGAAGGUAAUUAACCAUCUGUAUACUUACAGUCAGCACUACAGUAGGAAAACCCGUAUAUAACCUGCUGAACUAUCUUGUGAUCGUGAACUGUAUCGAAAGAGCCCAGUCACAAUAACUUAGCUUCAUGCCCAGAUGGGGCUUUUUUUUUUAGUCUGGUUGGUAGCUGUUCCAAAAUUAGCUUCAACAUGUAUAUAAAGGCUUUAAGAAAAUAUUGCAAAUUAACUGUAGCAAUCAAAUAAUUAUUAGUAGGCUGGAGCCCAGGAAGUAUCCUAUAGCCCAAUAGACUGCUUGGGAGACCCAUUCCAAGACUUGAUCUAGUUUAUGUAUUUCAUAAAAGAUGAUCUCAAAGAACUGAUAUUGUUGCAGAUACUACCAUCGUUCCGAUCGCCUCUGGUGAGACAAACCUCCUUCGAGUCAUCAAUGCUGCACUCAAUCAACCGCUUUUCUUCACAAUAGCCAAUCACAAGUUCACAGUUAUUGGUGCUGAUGCCUCUUAUCUUAAACCCUUUACUACCUCGGUCAUAAUGCUAGGACCAGGCCAAACCACUGAUGUUUUGAUCUCAGGCGACCAACUACCUGGCCGAUAUUACAUGGCAGCUCGAGCUUAUCAGAGUGCGCAAAAUGCACCAUUUGACAAUACUACAACCACUGCCAUUCUUGAAUACAAAUCUGCCCUUUGCCCUGCUAAGUGUACAACAAAACCAGUUAUGCCUCGACUUCCAGCUUAUAACGACACAGCUACAGUUACAGCAUUCAGUGGAAGCCUUAGAAGCCCUCGAAAAGUCGAGGUCCCAACAGAUAUUGACGAGAACCUCUUCUUCACAAUUGGUCUAGGGCUUAACAACUGUCCUAAAAAUUCCAGAGCUAGGCGGUGUCAAGGACCCAACGGCACUCGCUUCACCGCUAGCAUGAACAAUGUUUCUUUUGUGUUUCCUUCAAACAUUGCGUUACUGCAGGCGUAUCAGCAAAAAGUUCCUGGAAUUUACACCACUGACUUUCCAGCAAAACCACCAGUAAAGUUUGAUUACACUGGUAAUGUGAGUCGUUCCCUCUUUCAGCCUGUUCGUGGAACUAAGCUGUACAAGUUGAAGUACGGAUCAAGGGUGCAGAUUGUGUUGCAGGACACGAGCAUUGUCACACCAGAAAACCACCCAAUCCAUCUUCAUGGAUACGACUUCUACAUCAUUGCAGAAGGAUUUGGAAAUUUCAAUCCCAAAACUCAUAAAUCUAAAUUUAAUCUUGUGGAUCCACCAAUGAGGAAUACAGUUGCAGUGCCUUCGAAUGGAUGGGCAGUCAUUAGAUUUGUUGCUGACAAUCCAGGUAAUUUAAAGUUAAUCUAGAGUCGAUCCAUGAUCUGCUUCAAUUUUUCAUUUGAACAUUAAACUCAUCAACUUGUUUUUGUCAUGAUUGAACAGGUGUGUGGCUAAUGCACUGUCACUUGGAUGUUCACAUCACAUGGGGUUUGGCCAUGGCUUUCUUGGUAGAGGAUGGGAUUGGGGAAUUACAGAGUGUAGAGCCUCCUCCAGCAGAUCUGCCGAUAUGUUAAUUAUGAUCGAAACAUAAAAGAAGAUUUUACCCAUUGUUGACAUUCUUCAGAAGACAACAGCUAUAGGAUUUUCUUUCCUUCCUUCUCUGGUUGUUGUAUUCAAUUCCAUGUGUUGUUCUUCCCUACAUUUGGGGACAUAGCUCAAUAUUGUAUUUUUCCUCUCUUUUAUUGAUAGAUAAUAGGCGGGUAUACAAGAGAUGGUGCCUUUGAAACAAGAGUCGCCAUCUCAUGUUAGUGACUGACCUGCUUGUUUCUUGAUUUUAGAGCUAUUCUUCUCUCUUCGUUAAUAAUACAAUCAUACUUUAUGAAUACUCUGCUUUGACAUGUUGAGUUUUGAACAUUGCAAUGAUCAAAUAUAUAAUCCUGGUUAACUGGAUUAAUUCGUAGCAUAUUAUAUCGGGAUAAAAAAAAAUUAAAUAUAAAAAAAAACCAAAACUAAAUCAAUAAAAAAAACUUGCUGAAUAUAAUAAAAUUAAUUGACAUGUUAAGGAUAAUCCCAUGUUAUAAAUAGCAAUUUUCUUUUUGUAGAGAAACGUGUGGUCCUUAGCCAUUUCAAGUGACCCCUCGGCUUUUCAAAGGGCUCCUCUCUUGCCAAGGUCAGUGGUGAUGACAUCAACGGCUACAAUACAUGUCAUAUACCCACGGGACAUGAUUGGCUCCGUGGUAUUUUGACACGUGGUAUACAUGCACUAUAAAGGGAACAUGCUACCUGGGUUCCACUGCAGAUGUACACGUUUUGAUUUUCCAUUAGCCAUCAAAUUUAGUACUCUGGAAGUACUCCACUAACUAAAGGUUUUUUUAAAAAAAUAAAAAUAUAUUAAAAUAAUAUUUUUUAAAAUUUAUUUAUUUUUAAUAUUAGCAAGAUCAUCAAAAACAUUUUAAAAAUAUUAGUUUUAUAUUUUUUGAUGUAAAAAAUAAUUUAAAAAAUAUAUUAAAUAGCACAGUUAAACAUAAAAUAAAAAAUAUUAGGAUAUAUUUUUUGACUGGUGGGAAUUAAUCUUGUUUGUCAAUAUGUAACAAUCUGUUUGUUUUAUUUCUCUAGAAUGAUAUUUGCAUAAUUCUUAAAUCCUAUACGUUUAGAUUUUGGGUCAAUUAAUUCAAGAGUUUAUUUACCUUAUUUUAGUACACGGAACUCACGAACAAAUUGGAAGCCUUCAAAAAAGAGAGAUGGAGUAAAUUAGUUAGAAAUGGCAAAAAUGAAAUUUCAAAGAAACAGAGGAAGAAGGUAAAUAGAAAGAGGCCUGGAGAGGGGAAUUCCUUCGGUGCCAAGUAAAGACGAGAGCCAGCCUAGGUUCGGGACGGUCGGGUUUCCAGGUGUCAUUAGAUUAGGAACGAAGCGCCACUAGUGAAAUCCAAACCGACACGUCAUAAAAAAAUUGAAUUCCAGAAAUAUCCAGGGAAAGGCUAUAAUUAUCCCGGUACCCUCGUUUUUCUAAAGAUUUCUCGAUUGUUAGAAGCUGUGCGUGACCUCUUUGUUACUUUAGAAACUCUCCCCUCUCUCAAAACAGAACAAAUACAAACAAAAAACCAACGCGGGACAGCAAAGUCGAAGACAGAAAUUUAAGUGAUUCGUGUAAGAUUUUGAUUUCUUGAAGCGAAUUUCUUUGCAGGUUAGUUAGUUAAUCUCAGCUUAGAGUUUUUGAAACUUUUGUUUCUAGCUCAUUUUUUGUUUCUAGGGUCUGAUCGAUCAAAUUGGGUAACUAGGUAUUGUUUAACUGGUGAAAUUUCUCUUUCCGGGUUAGGGUUUCAAAUUGGGGGUUAUUAUAAUUGGAGUAAAUUUUGUGACUAAAAACCCAAUUGGCAAAUUGAGGUGUUACAGAAUUAGUUUUCUGUUUGUGGAGUGGUAAAUUCUUCCGCUAGAAAUUAGAUUUUCUUUGUUAAUUUUUUUUGGGUCUGUUAAAUUUUCGUACCUUUGGAAUUUAUUAAUUUACUUAAUGGCCAAGAUAAAUAUUUCCGUGGUGAGCAAUAAUGGUGACUCUUUUAAGGGAUUUAACUGAUAAGAGGUUUAUUACUUGUUAGUUAAGGAAAAAACUCCUGUCCAGAACUGGAAAGUAAAUAGGACAAAAUAGAGCAAACUUGGGGAGCAAGUAAUUUUGCUGUCCUGACAGGAUAAGGAUUAGUUGGUUCUGUCUAUAUAUAUAUCAAACAUUAGCUGUCACUGUUUGGAGAAUUUGAGAUUUGUUAUUUUUCCUGUGUUUCUCCUGCUCAAGUUUUUGAGUAGUGGUACUUAAUUUUACUUGUCUAUCUGCUGCAGAUUCUGAAACUCUUGUAGUUUGGCUGUACUGGGAUCAAAAUUGUUGGGUUCUGAGAUUGAGAAAAUGGGUACUCUUGAUCAAUAUUCUAAAGCUACUUCUAUGCCUACGGAUCCUACUAAGAAGAGGAAAAGGGUAAUCAAUAAAUCUGUAGCCGAGACCCUUAAAAAGUGGAAGGAGUAUAAUGAGUAUCUUGAUUCUCAAGGUGAUGGAGGUAAUAAACCAGUUCGUAAAGUUCCUGCCAAGGGCUCAAAGAAGGGGUGUAUGAAAGGUAAAGGAGGACCAGAGAAUUCAGUCUGCAAUUACAGAGGAGUGAGACAGAGGACAUGGGGGAAGUGGGUUGCUGAGAUUCGGGAACCAAACAGAGGCCCUAGGCUAUGGCUUGGUACUUUUCCUACUGCCUACGAAGCUGCUCUUGCCUAUGAUGAAGCUGCACGAGCUAUGUAUGGCCCGUAUGCUCGUUUAAAUGUUCCUGAUGUGCUGAAUUCAACAAGCUCAUCGAAGGACAACUUCUCCUCAGCGACACCAUCUUGCUAUUCUCCAGCAGCGAGUUCUGCGGACUCUGCUACUACAUCAACCCACUCUGAGGUCUGCGUGUAUGAGGAUCCUAAGCAGAAUGUAUACAGCCAAGCUGAGGUUUGUGGGAAGGAUGUAUCUAGCCAAGCUGAGGUUCUUGCGCAUCAUAUAUCAAGCCAACAACAUAUUGAGGAUGGUUCGCAGGGAGUUGAAAAUAGCACGCUGAGGGACGAGCAGAAGAGUCAAUCAGAAAAUCCUUUGUGGACUCCAUCAGAAAAUUCCUUGUGGACCAAUGACUGGCACAACUACUCGAUGGAUGAAAUAUUUAGCUUUGAUGAGUUGCUAGGGGGUAUUGAUGCGGGGAUGAUGGGGGCAGAAGGGUACUUCAACUUGGGAUUUUGAUAGCUCUGUAGCGCUUUCUCGAGGAAGCUAUUGCUUGCGCUUUGUGCUGGCUGAAGGGUUUAUAAAUUUUAAUGUAAAACUGGUUUCUUAGUCGCUUGCUUUGCAUUUUGCAAACUAGAAGUCCAAUUUGAAAAGAAAUUGUCAAUUAUUAACUGAUGUUAGGAAACAAACUAGAGUUAUUGAUCUUUUACUAUUUAGUUGGUGGGCAUUGCGAAGUUUUCGCAUGGUUUAGAAGGGAUUAAUUUGUGUAGGGCUAAUUAAAAUUUGCAAAUUGCAAUUUGUAGUGUUUGUUGAUCUUAUCUACCUUGUCAGUGCCCAAAGUGAGCGUUUUAUUGGCUCAAAGCGCCAGAAGUCAAGAGGAGGGCGACAACCCUUGAAAAAACAUGUUGAUUUUAUUUCAACCGAGUGUUUUCUUUUUUUAAUAACUUUAUUUAUUUUAGAUUGUUUUGAAAAGCAAUUAGUACUGUUACACGUUCUUUGCUCUGGUCUCGAAAACUUGGCUUCUCUACUGACAGCACACCUCCUCUCCUUGUUUAGGUUUCGUUAUUGGACACAAUCCUGUGAUUUUUAGUUUUUCACCAUGGCCUGUGGCUAGAGUAUUUUUUACUCUAGCAUGCUAAAAUAAAAAUGGAUAAAAUAACAUGGUAAAAAAAAAUUAGAAAAAUAUUGAUUAGAGAUUUGCAUAUGAUAUAUGUUAUUAGCAUUAUUUGAAACUCUUUUGAAUUGUAAAAUUAAACACAUGAUUUAAUUAGGAUAGAGAAAAAAAAUGAGGAGAAAAGAAAAAAAUAUUAAAGGUAUAUUGAAACUCCGAUAAUGACAUUAUCGAUAUCGUUAUAAAUAUAUUGAUGAGAUGAAUUCAAUGACAUAAAAAAAUAUCAUCAAUGAUCAUCAAAGAAAAAAGAUAUCGCUCAUGUGACUCAUUGUGAUCAUAAUUGGUGACUUUUUUUUUGUGUUGUUGGAUUCGUCUCGUUGAUAUAUCUCGAACGAUAACAAUGGUGUCAUCGUUAAAGUUUCGAUGUGCUAUGUCUUCUCUCCCCUAAUCAAAUCAUGUAUUUAAAAUUUUACAAUUUAAAGGAGUCUAGAAUGAUACUAUCAACUUGCAAAUCACAAAUAUCAUCUACAAAAAUUAAAAUAUCAUCUAGAAUUCUCUAAACAAUACUAAUUUUUAAAUAUUUUUUAUACUGUAUUAUUUUAUUUAAAAAAAUGCUAUAAACCCAAAAAAACUCUCUGUGGCUAGCCACCGACAUUAUCCUUACGACAAAACUAUUAUCGAUAUUCUUUUUUUUUUAUUCGAGAAAACUCUAUCCUUCAAAAAACACACUUUGUGGGCCUAAAUGAGCGAGUAAAACUCAGGUUGUCCCGGGCUCUUACAAGAGAUGCACGCCCUGACUCGAACUCGAGACCUGUUAUACAUAUCUCAAGCCCUUUACCUUCACGUUACGCCACUUCAAAACCUUUAUUACUUUUUUCGGUUCUCUCUCGGUAUCUGUCAUCUUUAAAAAAAACUAAGGAGAGUUAAAAGAAGAGCCAGAUUAGUUUUCUUUUCCUUUUUUUUUUUCUUUUUCCGGUCUGGAGAUAGCGGAAGAGCAUCUUGAAUUAACAGACGGGAAUCCGAUCAAAUGAAUUAAAGGAAGGGGAUUUUACAGCGUUAAUGGAAAAAAUGAAAUGAAGAGUCAAAAUGGUUUUUUUUUUUUGUUAAAAAAAACUUUCUUACAUAUUUAUCAGAAGAAAAAAAUACGAAAAAAUUAUUGAAAAAAUUAUUUUUUCAUCUUUUCUUGUUUUUCAAAAAAAAAAACUGAAAGUAUUAUUAUUAAAAUACAAAUAGUUUGUUAAAAUGUUUUUUUCCACUUAAAUAAACAUGAUAAAAUAAUUAAAUUUACAUUAUUCAAAGAAUUAUAUCAACAACUUAGUUUUUUCUUAAUAACUUUUGCCAUCGAAGAUUCUCUAGAUAAUGGCCUUAUUUCAAUUGAAUAACAACUCACCAUCCACUUCAUGUCAUACAGGAAAAAAUAACGAAUCAUUUUUAUUUUUUUUUGUUAAAACUUGUUAUUUUCUGCAACUAUUUUGUCUAAACUUUAAUGUUUAAUUUUGAAUUAUUUGAUUUGAUUUUAGAUGUUUAAACCUAUAGCGGUGCAUUAAAAAUUAAAAAAUUUCAUUUUGUAUAUAAAAAAGAAAUUAACUCAAUUUAGUGCAAUCCAUUAAGAUUUUAUAGAUUAAUUAGGAUGAACUUAAUUUAUUUUUUUAUUUGAAUUUAUCUAAUUAACAACGUAGAAGAAUUUUUCUACUAAUUUAAUUUAAAUUUCAGGUUAAUUAAAGUAUCAAAUAAAAAAAUUAAUUUAAAUUAUUAUAUUAAAUUUAAUUAUAAUAUUAAAAAAAAUUAAAGAUACAAAUAUUAGUUUUUUAGAUCAUUUUUUCCCCAUUUGUUUUUUGUUUGCUGGAAAGUAAUUUCAUUUUGGAAAGUGAAUUCCGGGAAAAUGAAUUCCAGGAAAGUGAAUUAUUUUCCGAUGUGUUGGUAGUGUAAUGAAAAAUUAGUUGGAAAACAUUUUCCAAUGUUUGGUUAUGUCAUGGAAAAUGAGCUGAAAAAUAACUUAUUAAUAUUUUAUUUUUUUCAAGUUUAUUAAAAUAAUAAGGAACAAAUCUUAUAAAUUAAAAAUUUAAAUGAGAAUGAAAUUGAAAAAAAAUAUAAUUUCAUAAAUUAUCUCAAAUAAAAUAAAUAAUAAUCAAAAUAAUAGAGAUCAAAUCUAAAAAAUAAAAAAAAUUAAAAGAUGAAGAAAUUAAAAUAAUAAUAAUUAAUAUUUCAUAAAUUAUUUCAAAUAAAAUAAGUAACAAUCAAAAGAAUGAGGACCAAAUUUGAUAGAUAAAAAAUUUUAAUUAAAAAAUAAUAAGGGAAAAGCAAAUAACAAUUAUAAAGAUAAGAAUGAAAAUUAAUAUAAAAAUAAAAUUCUAAGGAAUGAAAUUGAAAAACAAAUAUUCAAAACAAAAUAUAUAUAACAAUCAAAAGUUUAAGGACCAAAUUUGAUAUAAUCAGCAAAUAAUAUAACAUUUCUAAAUUUUUCACAACUUCCGGAAAAUAUUUUCUGUUCAAAAUAAAAGAAAAACACUUUUCUAGAAAUCAAGCUAAAUUUUUCUUUAGCUGAAAAAUAUUUUUCGUUAACCAGAAAGUAUUUUUUGUUUACUAACUUUUCCAAUACCAAACAAAUAUAAAAAAAUUUAAAAAAUAAUUUUUUAAAACCAUUCCAAAAUAUAAACACAUCCUAAUCCAAACCGUAACCAUAACUAUAGCGCGGUCAUUAAACCCGAAACAGACUAAACCUAUGAAUUUACUGCCAAACAGGGCAACAGCUCCGCCACGAACAGACACCUAUGAUUUUACUCAGUGACUCAGAACACUUGUAGAAUUCCUCGCCUCUCUCUCUCUCUCUCUCUUUUUAUUAAGGUGGAUAUUCAAGCCGGCUUGCGCGCAUCUCUUUCUUUCAAUAACUACUCUAUUGGUGAACUCUAUUUUAAUGGCUCAGUCUCUUUCUCGAUGGAGACCUAUCCGGAAUCUACUCUUCUCCACCACAACUCACCUGAAUUUGCUUUUUAUCAGAUACCCAGAAGUUCUUUUCAGGUAUAUUUGCUUCAAUAUAAUAACUUAUGCCCCCCCCCCCCCCGUUUUUUUUCCUUUCUUGUUUGUUGUGGCAUGUUCACCGGGUUCUAGAGACAACCGGCCGCUCUGUUUUCCUCUCCGAUGUAGAACUGAUGCUGACUAGGGGUUUGACUGGUUCAAGCUUGAGUUUUUCUAAGAAUUUAUUUUUUUGGUUGAUCAAUUUUUGCAUUUUUUGAUGGGUCCGCUCGAGGCAUGCAUUAUUUGGUUCAUUCCACCAAACCAAUCACACUAUCUUGUUUUACCACGCCAAACCGUUAUAAACCGCGGGGUUUAUUGCAUCAACCAAGUAGGCAUUGUUUUGGUUCACCUGGAAAUGAUAGCACCAGACUGAAUUCUAUUUAUGACCAUAUUGAUGGUAUGAUUUCCAUGGGACUUGUCAGUGCACACCUGUUUAGCCUAGUGGAAAAGGGCAAGCCCGUGAUGAGCUGUUGAGGCUCAAAUCUAUAGUCUGAAUCUCAUUUAUGCAGCCUGGAUUAUUGCCGUGCGGCUAAGAGGCCUGUUCACUCACUUGGAAUUUAACGGUAAACGCCUCUUGCAUCAAAUCAAAUUAGUAAAUAAAGAAAAGCUACUUUGAUGGAAUUUCAUGUAGUUCACGCGUUCAAAGUUGAAUGCAUCUCCUUGAGUAUAUGUUGCAGCAGUCAUUUUUUUUUUAUCUAUUAUUUCAGCUUUCAGGGUUUAUUGAAGAAAAUUGGCUUCUCCACUGAUUAACAAUGAAGAGAAAGCAUUUACAUCAGUCCAAGCACCCAUAUAAUGCACACCGUAAGCAUUACCUCCUUAAUUCCCUCCUCUUCUCUUGCUUGUUUAUUCCUGAUGUUUUUCUUAUGUUUAUUCUGGAGUGAGCCCCAACAACUAGGUAUAAGCCUUUGUUGUUUCUGAGCAAUAGUCUGUGCUAAUAUAGGUUCACGUAUUACUUGUCAUGAGUUGUUGGCAUGUGGAAGUUAUAUAAGCAUUUAUGUAUAUUUUUCACAGCUAAAUUGUCCGAGCCCCUGAAUGUUCAAGCAAAGAUGGGAUUGUCAAAAAGACAAAUUGAUGGUGAAACCGUUAAAUCCUGAUAUUUUUUAAUCUUCAAAAUCAAUUGUUGUUGCCAUUUAUGCAGUACGGAAUUCAACUGAAGCCACUAUCUGUGCAUUCGAUUGUAAAGAGCAUCCUAAUUUAAGUUGUUGAAAGCAUGAAUAAUUUCAUUUUUCAAAUGGCUAUGGAUUCCUGAAAUAUUUUAUAGAAUUGUAUAUGCACCAGACAUUGUGAUAAAUAUCUUUUUAAUAUUGUUUUAUUGAUGUUCCAUUUGAUAGCUUUUGAGGCCUUAUACGGCGGCUCUUGGCAAAGCGUGGAGCUCAUAGAAAUCAGGGAUGGGGCUAUGACUCUGCAUUUUGCCGAUAGUCAUCAUAGAAUUGAGGAGAAGGGUCCUUUCUCAAACAUUCGAGUGAAGUCGAGGAAGUCAACUUUAUCUGAUUGCACCUGCUUUCUGAGGCCUGGUAUUGAUGUUUGUGUGCUUUCAUUCUCUGAACGUGCAAAGAGUUCAGAGGAAGGAAAUUCAGAACCUGUGAGUGACCUCAUCAUGUCACUGCAUUACGGAAAGCUCUGUAACUUUGAAAGGAUUGUGGAUGGUGGACACUUAUUACAAUCUCGCUUAUUGAAUUUUUCAAACUAUUUUCUUUCUUAAAACAUCACAAGACUUUAACAUGCUUAAAAAAAUUCUUAUGGCCUAAUAAAUACACAUCGUAAUGCACAAAACAUUGAGUUGCUUCCUAUAAUAUAUACCACUAUCAGCAACGCAACACAUAAUCAAUUUUGCUGCUUGAAAGAGCUGUCAUUAAACUUUGCAGCAUAGUUAAAUUUCAAAAGUUAUGGUACUCGUAUUUGAAGUUGAUUUCAAUUCUCUUUCUCAUGCAGGUGUGGGUUGAUGCUAGGAUAAAUUCUAUCAAGCGGAAACCUCAUGAAUCUCAGUGCUCAUGCCAAUUUUUUGUUAACCUCUAUGUCAACCAAGGUCCUCUUGGUUCGGAGAGAGCAACACUCAGUAAAGAAACUGAAGCAGUAGGAAUCGACCAAAUUUCCAUCCUUCAGAAGCUUGACAAUGAUCCAUGUGAAGCAGACAACAAUAGACAUGAAACUCAGUUCUACCGUUGGGAAUUCUGUGAGGACUGUUCUUUAGUGCAAAGAAGUAAACUCUUUUUGGGAAAAAAUUUUAGCUGAUCUUACAUGGCUGCUUGCAGCCUCCAUUCCGAAGCAAGUUGCAUUUGAUGUAAGAUCAGUACAAAAUAAAAUUGCCUACCAAAUUUUUGGUGGUGAUGAUGAUCACUGUUCACUAAAAUCUAAUAAUCACAUAAACUGUGUAACUUUCAAAGUAGAAGACGGUAUUUCAACCCCUUUUGUGGUCCAGUUGGAUCCCAUUGAUACUUGUAGUGAGCGAGGCCCUAUCAGUGACACAAAUGGGACUGAAAAACCACCAUGCUAUGAUGUUAUGAACUUGCGGCGGUCAAAGCGUUGAAACGUACAACCCGAUCGUUUUCUUGCCUGAGAUACUCCUGCAGAGACAGAAAUUGGCUGGGUUAGAUCCCUGCCAUACACACCACUGAAGUGGAAGGAAGAAGAAGAGUUGCACUUACCAUUAGCAUACCUGUUUGGUACACAUGCAGAUGCAAGUUGUGCAGAAGAGAAACCUGGCAAUGAAGUGCGAGUUAAUUCUCCUAAACUAGAAUUCUUGGAAGGUCCCCCUGUUUCCAGAACCAAGACCAACUCAAGGAAGAUUAAAUCAAAUGUGUUUAACCGAAGAGAACACCAAGCUGAGCUUGGAGAGGUUGAAUCAGGUAUAGAUAACAGAAGGGAGCGCCAAAAAUCCACUGUGGCUAACAGAAUAAAACACCAAACUCGACUUGGGGAAGCUAAAUCAGGCAUGGCUAACAGAAAAAAGCACGGAACCCAAAUUAGGGAGGUUAAAUUGGGUGUGGCUAACAGAAUAGAACACCAAGAUCAACUUGCUAUUGUUCCUGUGCCAACUGAAGAUGAUCUGGUUACCUUUGAACAAUAUGAUUCCCCUUUGAAGACUCCUGAUAAUUUUCCACAAGAGUGUAUUGAAUUUCCAAUCCGUUCUUAUAGCAAAAAGGGUUAUUCUGUACAAAGGAAGAAUGAUUUCGAUGAAGAUAUGAUGUUUGGAAGUGGAUGGGGUGGAAAAUCUUCUAGGAAGAAAGUUCAAAGAGCAAGAUACCAAUCCACACAUUUAAAGAGGGAUGAUUCCUGUAAGCCAAAGACUUACAAGCAGACAGCCUUAAGCGCAGGUGCAUACGAUAAACUCAUAAGUUUUUAUAUGAAGAACUUUGAUUCCACAAUCAAGUCAAAGGAGGUAACGCGCAUUAUUGACCAGUGGGAGGAGUUUAAAGCCAAACACAGCUCAGAUCAGAAGGAGACAAUGGAACCUUCUUUGGUUGAGGAUGAUGGAGAAAGCUCAGAAACUGAAAUGUUGUGGAGAGAAAUGGAACUAUGCCUGACAUCAGCCUAUAUUUUUGAAGAUAAUGAAGUAUAACUGUUAAUUUGAUUUGAUAGGUGCCUUAUUUUCAUAUAUUCAUAUCCUUGUACCACAUAUUUUUCUUUAUCACCUUUUCUGAUUGGUUCAAUGAUUUUCAGUCUCGAGUUUCCACUCAGACCACACAGAACUCGAGUGAAUGUUGCCAGCAUGAAUUCAAACUGGAUGAAGAAAUUGGGAUAUUAUGCCAUAAAUGCAGCUUCGUGAAAACUGAAAAAAAAUAUGUUUCAGCACCAUUUGUAAGUCAAAUUUUUGAAACCCAUGAUGCAGGUAUUUUCAGUUUUUCUGCUCUCUUUUAUGUCCCCUCUGGAUAGACAAGUGAGUAUGCAGGGGAGGCACUUUUUAUUUGUAAUAAGGGGAUACUCUGCAAGGAAUCCUAUUGCACACUUGUUUAAUGUAUGCAAAAUUUCACCUCUGUAGAUUUUGGUUGGUCCUUGCCGCAGUUUCCUAGGUGGUUCAAACAGAAUUCUAAUUAUUCUAUGUAUGUUUUUGUUUCUGUAGAUGGAACGCACAAGCCAGACUGCAGAAAGUAAGCCACGGGAUGAAGAAGAUUCGGAGCUCAAGCCUGAUGAAGAUGAGGGCUUGAAUCUUUUUAGCAAUCAUACUUCAGGUGAAGCGUGCCUUUUGAAGUGAAUGACAAUGUGUGGGACUUAAUCCCUGAGCUCAGAGCAAAAUUACACAUGCAUCGGAAAAAGGCUUUUGAGUGUCUAUGGCGGAAUAUUGCUGGAUCCUUGGUGCCAGCACUUAUGGAAAAAGCAUCUAAGAAGAUAGGCGGUUGUGUUAUCUCUCAUACUCCUGGAGCUGGAAAAACUUUUCUUAAGAUUGCAUUCCUUGUCAGCUACCUGAAGUUGUUUCCAGGAAAACGGCCUCUGGUCCUCGCUCCAAAGACAACUCUCUACACCUGGUACAAGGAAUUUAUCAAGUGGGAAAUUCCUGUUCCAGUUCUUCUUAUCCAUGGUACUAGAUCUUCUAGAGUCUUCAGGCAGACUCCAGUGGCACUUCGAGGAUCAUGUCCAAGGCCCAGCCAGGAUGUUGUGCAUAUUUUGGAUUGCCUGGAGAAAAUGCAAAAGUGGCAUGCACAACCAAGUGUGCUUGUCAUGGGCUAUACCUCAUUUCUGACAUUAAUGAGAGAAGAUUCAAAGUACAACCGCAGAAAAUAUAUGGCUAAAGUGCUGCGUGAGAGUCCUGGAAUGUUGGUACUAGAUGAAGGCCAUAACCCCAGGAGUACUAAAUCAAGGUUGAGAAAGGUUUUGAUGAAAGUGGAAACAGAUCUAAGAAUACUGCUUUCAGGUACUUUAUUUCAGAAUAAUUUCUGUGAAUAUUUCAAUACCCUUUGCCUGGCAAGACCAUUGUUUAUCAGAGAAGUUCUGAAGGCAUUAGACCCAAAGUUUAAGAGGAAAAAGAAAGGGGCACAAAAAGCACGCCAUUUCCUAGAAUCUCGGGCCAGAAAAUUCUUCAUAGAUAACAUUGCAAGCAAAAUCAAUUUGGACGAGGCUGAAGAGAAAAUGCAGGGUUUGAAUAUGCUGAGAAACAUGACUAAUGGAUUCAUUGAUGUAUAUGAAGGCACAGCUUCUGACACCCUUCCAGGUUUACAGAUUUACACCAUAAUGAUUAAUCCAACAGAUAUACAACAUGAGAUUUUGGUGAAACUCCACAAAAUUAUGGAAAAAUGCCCUGGAUACCCCCUGGAAGUAGAGCUUUUGAUAACCCUUGCUUCGAUACAUCCUUCCAUUAUCAAUUCUUCUGUCUGUGUAAAAAAGUUUUAUGAACAGGAGGAGCUGAUGGAACUUGAGAAGUUAAGGUUUGAUUGUAAAAAGGGGUCCAAAGUGAUGUUUGUUUUGAAUCUUGUAUAUCGUGUAGUCAAGAAGGACAAGGUUCUGAUCUUUUGCCACAACAUAGCACCCAUAAAAUUAUUCCUUGAACUGUUUGAGAAUGUCUUUAGAUGGCAGCUGGGUAAAGAAGUUCUUGUUCUUACAGGGGACCUAGAGCUGUUUGAAUGAGGAAGAGAUGGAUAAGUUUGAGGAAUUGGGAGGGCCUUUGAGGGUUUUGCUUGCAUCAAUUACGGCCUGUGCCAAGGGCAUAAGUUUGACAGCAGCAUCACGGGUAAUUCUAUUGGACUCGGAGUGGAAUCCUUCCAAGACAAAGCAGGCUAUUGCAAGAGCCUUUCGGCCUGGUCAACAGAAGAUGGUUUAUGUGUAUCAGCUUCUGGCAACAGGCACAGUUGAAGAAGACAAGUACCAUAGGACAGCAUGGAAGAAUUGGGUCUCACGCAUGAUAUUUAGUGAAGAAUCUGUGGAGGACCCUUCUCGUUGGCAGGCAGAAAAGAUUGAGGAUGAUGUAUUAAGGGAGAUAGUGGAGGAGGACCGGGUGAAGUCAUUCCAUAUGAUAAUGAAGAAUGAGAAGGCUUCAACAAGUUGAUUGGAGACUACCUUCAUUAUAAUAUAGUGUAAGAAACUGCCUGGUUUUGUUACAAUUUCCUUGUUUUUAUCUAAGCUUAAUCAUUUUAUCUGUUUUUCAUUAUACGUUAUUCAGGGCUUUUGAUAUUGCUUAUGCUUCUCUGGGGAUUUGAAGGUUCUAAUAAUUUCCGCAAUGAAGCUAACGGCAAAUAUAGUAACUUGCUGAGCCAUGUCUUAGCUAUUCAGAAAUCAGAAAAAGCUCCAUCCAUGUCCAGGAAGUUCUAGCAGUUUCUCUUCUCGGCAAGAUAAAUGCCGUCCAAAUGCUGUUUAGUUUAAUGAUCUGUUUAUUUUUGUGUCAUUCCAUUUCCAAGUGCUGUUAGGUUGAAGAAUCUGCCAAUCUGGUGGUGCCUUGAAACCUGCCUGCAUUGGCCGCAUUAUGGUAAUUACAUUUUAGCUUGAAAUACAAUUGUCUGAAUCAUCUCAUAAACUGCUAGGAAUUAAGGUUCUCUGUUUUGAUGCUUUCUGGGAUCACAUUUUACAUGGGACAUGAUUUCUUCCAAUAAUUGGGGAAUGCUUCUUGUAGUCAUUAAUUAUAUUUAUGAUUUUGCUUUGCAUCAGUAAUCAAUGAUUACCCAUAAAGCUUUCCAACUUCCUUUACUCAGACCCAUAAAACUGUAUGAAUGAUUACUUUUUUUAAAAAAAAAUGAAUAAUUUCAAUGAUCAUUGGCUUUGGUUUUAUCAUGUAGACUUGUUACAAGAAAGCCUCUUCUACUCUUCGGCUUUACUCCUUGGGCUUCGUAUAAUUAACUGGGUCGAGCUUUCUUUGUUUUCGAGAUUAAAAUUAAUGGGCAUCAGGCCAGCCGUCAUAUUUGGUCUAAAGGCGGCCAACACACGUAUGCUGGAACAUCACUGGAUCAAACCUCUUUUAAUUUGUGAGAUAUGAGCGUAUCGCUUGAACGGGACCUUCUUUAUCCAAAGGCACUGAACAAGGACUCGGGUGGAUACUUUGGUCUCGUUUAGUAUUGUUGCCAUGCUUUUUUAAAAAAAUUGAAUUUUUUAAAAAGUUUCAAAUUUUUUAUUUAUUUUUUGAUUGUUUGAUAUGUUUUCCUGUUGUUAAAAAUAAAUUUUAAAAAAUAAAAAUAUAUAUAUUAUUUUAAUAAUUUUUUAAAUAAAAAACACUUUAAAAAUUUAAUCCUGAUAAUCCCAAACACUACUUUUAAUAUUCAGUUAUCUAUUAUUGGGCCGAAAAGAUGUGGAGGUAUUGUGUGUUCUCUUUUUUUGUUUUAACAAAUAGCAACUCGAGACUUUUUAAGGGAGUUAAAUGUUAAAACUAGUUGAAUUAUAAUUGGUUCACAAUGUUUAUAUAUAUAUAUAUAUAUAUAUAUAUAUGCACCCGAGUUGUUUAAAUUAUCCAACUCAAUAGAUUGAAUAUGAUGUAUAUUAGGUAUAAAAACAAGGCAUAAAAAUCCUGUUUGUUUUUGUGUUUCAAAUAUAUUUUUAAAAAAAUUUGUAUUUUUGUAUUUUUUUUCUACUUUAAAUUAUUAUUUUUUAAGUAUUUUUAGAUUGUUUUGAUGAACUAAUGUUAAAAAUAAUUUUUAAAAAAUAAUAAAAAUAUUAUUUUAAUAUAUUUUUAAAUAAAAAAUACUAUAAAAAAUAAUUACUAACUCUAAAAGCAUCGGCAGGCACCACACUGCACUUUGACGCUGAAGUCUUCAAUAGGCCUUUAACAAGGCUUAAUUUUGUUCACUUUUUUUAAAGUAAAAAAUUCAGAUUCUUAAAGCAGUAUCAAGUACCAAAACCAUGGGCUGGGUUGGGUUGCGUUCAACAGAUUUUAAAAGUGUCAAGUGCCAAGAUUUCUGGCCCCUUCAAAGAUGACCUCGACUAGCAGCUCUUAGAAGCUUCUUCAAGCCAAACACACACCGGUAAGAGUAUAAUCCAAGUCGGCGAGCCUAAAAUAAACACGAAUUGCAACCUGAUUGUACAGAUUUAAAACUUCAACUCGGCUCUCUCACGUAUAAUCCACACCAAAUUCAUGUCCUCGACAAGGAAUUCCAUGGAUCCGUAUUUAGUAUAUUGGGCCAACGAGUCGACGUGGCUACUAUUCAGAUUGUAAUCUCUUAUCUCUCGUAUUGCUUGAUUGUUUUUUUUAGUCUGUUCGAGGAGAUUGGGUGAAUGUUCUUGCCACUGCAUACACUGCACGGCUUUCAAUUGGCAUUAGUAUAUGAAGAGUGGUGGGUGGGUUUUUUUUUUAUAUUUAUUUUUGGGUUGAGAUUUCUCGUUAACACUUAAUACAAGCUCUGAUUUAGUUGGAUGUUUAGGGUUUUGAAUGCCUGCGAAAAUAAAUAUUCUAACCUCUCUAGCUGAGGUUAAUAUAUAUAUACUAAACACUGCAAAAAAUUGGACUGGUCAUUACCAGGUUAAGAUUGAUUUGGCCCCUUGAUUAAUCUACACAAACUGUGGUUUUCUUCCAUUUGAAAAUACUUCAAGCCAAGGGAGAGAGAAGAAGUAAAAGUAAGUCAUCCUCGAACCCCUUCAUGAAAUGGAGCAGAUUAAUAACUAAUUAUUGCCACCCGUUCUUUAGAUAGUGUUUGAUACGUUGGACACUGUUAUUGGAUUAAACAGGAAUGAAUGGAACAUAUAUCUUGUCUUGUAUGUAGUGUGUAUUGGACUGAAUUUAACAAUUUAUUUUAUUUUGGUUUGAUAAACACUAGACGGAAACAGCUGACUCGGGAUUUGAACGGGAUCGGGUUUUAAAAAAUAAAGGAAUAAUUGAUUUGAUUUAACCAGGUUAAAAACCAGGUUCACCCGAGAUAAAACACGAGUAAAAAACCAUUGAUUUUUUCUGAAGUUUUUUUUUUGAAACUAGUCUACUUUGAUUUUUAUUUUAAUUUCGGUCAACUCAUGUUAACCUUGCAUGCCUGUAACUCAAGCUAUAUCCCGAAUCAAUUCUCGAGUCAAAUUUUAAAACUAUAAUGAUAAUAACUUUUAUUCGUACGUUGAUUUGGGUCAACCCGAGUUAGCCCUCUCGUACAGAAAAUCAAGUCUGGCCCCAUGUCGACUCUCAAGUCAGAUGUUAAAACUAUGAUAAUAAUCAUGUUUAUUCUAAUGUUGACUCGGGUUAAUGAUCAACACGACUCGCGACUUGAUUCUUG
RNAcentral lists this long non-coding RNA (23971 nucleotides) under Populus trichocarpa (black cottonwood). Its description in RNAcentral is "long non-coding RNA (PTRI_LNC002589)". The stretch from base 2184 to 2256 matches the Rfam family "tRNA". Lineage: Eukaryota; Viridiplantae; Streptophyta; Magnoliopsida; Malpighiales; Salicaceae. The record is from RNAcentral.